AUUGAACGCUGGCGGCAUGCCUUACACAUGCAAGUCGAACGGCAGCGCGGACUUCGGUCUGGCGGCGAGUGGCGAACGGGUGAGUAAUACAUCGGAACGUACCCUGUUGUGGGGGAUAACUAGUCGAAAGAUUAGCUAAUACCGCAUAAGACCUGCGGGUGAAAGUGGGGGAUCGCAAGGCCUCACGCAGCAGGAGCGGCCGAUGUCCGAUUAGCUAGUUGGUGGGGUAAAGGCCCACCAAGGCGACGAUCAGUAGCUGGACUGAGAGGACGAUCAGCCACACUGGGACUGAGACACCGCCCAGACUACUACGGGAGGCAGCAGUGGGGAAUUUUAGGCAAUGGGGGCAACCCUGAUCCAGCAAUGCCGCGUGUGUGAAGAAGGCCUUCGGGUUGUAAAGCACUUUUGUCCGGAAAGAAAUCGCGCUGGUUAAUACCUGGCGUGGAUGACGGUACCGGAAGAAUAAGCACCGGCUAACUACGUG
RNAcentral lists this ribosomal RNA (484 nucleotides) under uncultured bacterium. RNAcentral describes it as "partial 16S ribosomal RNA". It matches the Rfam family "Bacterial small subunit ribosomal RNA", at positions 30 to 507 of the family's 1533-position model. The record is from RNAcentral.